CCCGGCAAGAUGGAGAAACCAGAGUAAAUGGAUGAGUGGGAUUCUGGGCCAGUUUGCCUGUGAUGGCAAGGUCCUGCACAUGACGACUAGGGAGCAGAUGGUCCCGUUGGUUUACUUUCUGGGUCUUUCUAGGAGUUAGAGGAAUCCUGAUUGAGUCUGUGAUGCACUGAGUUUGGAAACUCAUGGUUCACUGUUCUUUGUUGUUUUUUUCCUGUGGAUUAGCAUCCAUUUGUAACAGCAGCCAAGCCAGCAUCCACCCUGGCACCACUCAUCAGCUCAGUGAAGAAGAAGAAGACAAAGAAGACAAGAAUCUAACAACUAAGAUAUUACCACCAAGUUAGAGUAGGAAUGUAGAGUAGGACUCUAGAGUAGGAUUGUUAAGUAGUUUUGUAGUAUAGGUUUAUAGAUAGGAUUAUAAUUAAAUAAAUUUUCAAAACAUCAAGUCAUUUGGAAGAUUCCCCUCCUUCUGGCCCCUUCACAAAACAUUUCCUUCUGAAUUGCCAGUUGUCUUUUAUUGGUGCUAAGACAUCCUUAUGGCUCCUUUGGUAUGGUUUGUAAGUGGAGAAGGCUCUUCUUCAUUCAUCCUCUCCAGACCACACUGCCUUUGGCAUACGGCCCACGGGCCCUGUUUGGCACAUCUGUGGCACUUCCAGUUGAGGCAGAAUGGGCAAUGGCAUUUGCAGGAAAUAGCAAAGGGGGAGUGGGGCAGCCAAAAUAUCCUGUGCAGAUGCAGGCCUUCAGCUGUGACUCGAGAGCAUUUGGGUGCCUGCCACUUGGAUUUGUAUCACAAAGGGCAAUGUCUUUGGCUGGAGGAGAGCCUCGCUCAGCGGAGAAAGCAGAAAGAUCAGAGAGGUGCUCUGAAAGGUCUCCUGCGGUGCAGAGCUGUCAGCGAGUGUGAGCUGAGAGCGGGCCCGGCCCUGCCCGGCGUGGAGCCGCAGCAGAGCCCUGGCAGAGCCCGGAGCAGCCUGAGCCUCGGCAGGGCCAGGCUGCAAGGAGGCCCUGGUAGCUGCAGGAGGCACAGCCCGGCCCUGCGUGCCUCUUGCUGGCAGCGGGCGCAUCCUCCGCUCUCAGAGCCCAACACAGCCGGCUGCUCCCGAGGGCAAGCGGAGCCCUGCUGGGCACAGCCCAGCCCGGAGGCAUUGGCCCUCUGGAGUCUGCCCGAGGAGAGAAAGGCCAAGGGCAGCCGAGGCCCGCUGGCCUGGCUCAGCAUUCCCACUCUUGUGCCGCUGCCCUGCGACUCCUGGCAAAGGUCAGCAGUGUGUGCAGCACCCUGGGCACCGGGGCAGGGAGCCGGGCUGCUCGGCAGGCUGGAGCACAGGGCAGCGUCCUUCAGGCAUGGCACUGCUGAGGCCUGGGUGUGUGCUGAGCAAUGCAGCCCCCACAAAGCCCUUGGUGUCCCCACAAGUUGCCAUGCCUUGUUCCCAGGUGUGCCCAGCUCUGGCAGGAGAAAGAGCCUGCAGCGCCGUGCCCUGCCCAGCCAGGGCUCUCUGGCACAGAGCAGCAGCAGCGCCAGCACCUUUCAAUCUGCUCCUUCCUUAUCUUCUCCUGGGACACAGAAGCCUCUGGAAAUCAGCACCACCAGGCGUGUUCCCAGCUCAGAGCAGCUCCUGCUGGCAGUCAGACGCUGCCUGUUUGACUGCUUCCAAAGGGGAAUAAAGUCAGAGAUGUACAUCCUCAGGAGCCCUGGGAAUAUCCAAUAAACGUGCAAAUAUGUGGGAGAUUCGUUAGGAAUUGUUUUAGCUAUUAUGCCAACAGUGCCUUCUCUU
Molecule: long non-coding RNA, 1766 nt
Filed under: Lonchura striata (white-rumped munia)
Lineage: Eukaryota; Metazoa; Chordata; Aves; Passeriformes; Estrildidae
Description: domestica (Bengalese finch) lncRNA (ENSLSDG00000002573.1)
Source: RNAcentral